RNAcentral lists this ribosomal RNA (431 nucleotides) under uncultured bacterium. RNAcentral describes it as "bacterial SSU rRNA". It matches the Rfam family "Bacterial small subunit ribosomal RNA", at positions 29 to 507 of the family's 1533-position model. The record is from RNAcentral.
AACGAACGCUGGCGGCAGCCUUAACACAUGCAAGUCGAGCGCACCUUCGGGUGAGCGGCGGACGGGUUAGUAACGCGUGGGAACGUGCCCUUCUCUACAGAAUAGCCUCUGGAAACGGAGAGUAAUACCGUAUACGCCCUUUGGGGGAAAGAUUUAUCGGAGAAGGAUCGGCCCGCGUUAGAUUAGGUAGUUGGUGGGGUAACGGCCUACCAAGCCUACGAUCUAUAGCUGGUUUUAGAGGAUGAUCAGCAACACUGGGACUGAGACACGGCCCAGACUCCUACGGGAGGCAGCAGUGGGGAAUCUUAGACAAUGGGGGCAACCCUGAUCUAGCCAUGCCGCGUGAGUGAUGAAGGCCUUAGGGUCGUAAAGCUCUUUCGCCUGUGAUGAUAAUGACAGUAGCAGGUAAAGAAACCCCGGCUAACUCCGUG